This 445-nucleotide ribosomal RNA is filed under the name uncultured bacterium. Its description in RNAcentral is "bacterial SSU rRNA". It matches the Rfam family "Bacterial small subunit ribosomal RNA", at positions 331 to 793 of the family's 1533-position model. The record is from RNAcentral.
CCAGACUCCUACGGGAGGCAGCAGUGGGGAAUAUUGCACAAUGGGGGAAACCCUGAUGCAGCGACGCCGCGUGAGUGAAGAAGUAUUUCGGUAUGUAAAGCUCUAUCAGCAGGGAAGAAAAUGACGGUACCUGACUAAGAAGCCCCGGCUAACUACGUGCCAGCAGCCGCGGUAAUACGUAGGGGGCAAGCGUUAUCCGGAUUUACUGGGUGUAAAGGGAGCGUGGACGGCCAGACAAGUCAGAGGUGAAAGCCCAGGGCUCAACCCUGGGACUGCUUUUGAAACUGCCGGGCUGGAGUGCAGGAGAGGUAAGCGGAAUUCCUAGUGUAGCGGUGAAAUGCGUAGAUAUUAGGAGGAACAUCAGUGGCGAAGGCGACUAUCUGGCACAUAACUGACGCUGAGGAGCGAAAGCGUGGGUAGCAAACAGGAUUAGAUACCCUAGUAC